Molecule: long non-coding RNA, 3110 nt
Organism: Homo sapiens (human)
Lineage: Eukaryota; Metazoa; Chordata; Mammalia; Primates; Hominidae
Exons: 4
Source: RefSeq, a predicted model, not a curated record
CCGAUUUGCCACCAUAACCUGAUUUUGACUAUACUGUGACUCCCCAUUCUUUUCUGUUGCCCCGAGAUGGUAUCAAAGCUUCUGCACCCCAUGGGAGAGGUAAUUACUCUGUGGUUCUUACCGGUGUGAUAUUAAUAAAUUUGUAUGCCUUUUCCCCAAAUUAAUCUGCCUUUUGUGAGUUGAUUUUUUUUUUCUUUCAGCGAAACUUCAGGGGCAAAAGGGAAGCCUUCCCUUGGCUCUGACAGUUUAUAUAUAUACUCUUCUGAAACAAAAAUCAAUGAUACAGAUGAAAGAGAAAGAGAAUUGCUGGGUGGUAUUUUUGAGAAGAUGACGUGCUUUACUGUACAAAUUGAUAGUUUGACCUUAGUUUUUCAUCCGUUUGAUUAGAACAGCAAUUAUGGAUAAGGAUAUGAACAUAUUGACAGAUGAAGUAUAAAUUUUUUCAUCCACUGCAACAAAGGAGGUAAUGUUUUAUAGUGAUGCUACCAGUGGUGAAUCCGUACAGGUCUGCAGCAACCUCAAUUCUUGCCUCCUCAGAAGAAAGAAUUCAACUGAGGGAAAGGCAGAAGAAGAGACAGAGACCUCCUUGAUCAUGUCCAGACCUGGUGGAUCAGCCCUUGCCACACCCUGAACUAGACCUGUUCACAGAUGGAAGCAGCUUCAUAGACCAUGCAUGUUAUUGUGCUGGAUACACAGCCGUUAUAUCUCAAGGUACUGUGGAAGAAAAAGCAUUACUUCCAGAUACCUCAGCUCAACUGGCCAAUCUCAUUGCCCUUACGCAUAACCUGCAAUUGGGAUGAAGACCAAGUCCUAUUUAAGACAAGGAGGGAACUGGACCAGAUCAUCAACUAGCCCCUCAAUGGUUAAGACCCUAUGAGGUCCUUCUGACUACUCAUUCAUGUGUAAAGUUGGCCAGAGUUAAACCAUGGAUACAUUCUACAUGGAUAAAAAUUGCCCCUCCUCAGACUGGUCUGUCACAUAAUGGACCUGAAUGAACCUGUGAAACAACUGAAAACCUGAAGCUGCUUUUUAAGAAAAUCUACACAGAUAAGUAAAACCUUUUGUCAUUUAAUCAUGAGAUUCUGGCUAAUCCCCACAGUAAUAUAUGGGGUUAGGCUGUUUGCUGAAACUAAUCAUUUCCUACCAUGGGCGCAUUAUGCAGAUAGCUGAAAACAGGAAACUUAUUGGGUUUGGGGCUGUUCCAGUCUCUAGCAUUUCUGGAUUACCUUAGUGGGUCUCACCCCUACAAGGUAAUAAUGGAUUACAAACCUUUAUGAAAAACUAUUCACAAGAAAAUCAGACCCCUGGGAUCCUAACAAAAGGAAAUGGAAGGUGAUGGCUUGGCAUUAAUGUAACCCUUCACCAUGCAUGUCACAGAAAACCUUGUAUAUACAUCAGAGAAUUCAACAAAUUCUGAGUGUGGUAUUUCUCUCCUGAUGGAGUUUCCCUCAGUAGAACUCAUAAUUUUGUCUAUUAACAGCUGCUAUACUGAGGAAGGCUUUUAUCAAAUUUGGGAUGAUUAUAUUUGGAUGACCCCCACUACCAGCCACUUACAUCAAAUUGCUCUCUUAUGCUGGAAACCAAAAGUUAUUCUUUUGAUUAUUGGCCAAAUAUUACUAAGAAUGUGGGCUGGAUGCCUCCACACUGGUGUGAAGAUACUCCAGUGCUUCAAUAAACCCACUGGUUCACUACUGAUUGGACACAGAGGCUGUGUGGGACUAAUGAUUGGAACUCACUACUGAGUGGUGAUUGGAAAUCACUACUGAUUGGAACUCAUUGGCUAUGUGGGACUAAUCGUUGGCCCUGGCUGCCCAUUGCAUGGAUAGAAUGGUGCAUGUUGGGUUUCCCAUUGGUCCAGAACCAUUUGACCAAAACCACUGGACAAACUGCAAAUUUCUCUAAUGUGUUGUACCAAUGGAACAGACCAGUUUUCCACUGAUAAGACCAUGUCCUAUCUAAUUUUAAUCCCCAAGUUACUUUAGAAAAUAUUAUCUGGCAUGUCAAGACCCUCACAAACUAUAACCAACAAGUGCUAAAGGAUGAAUUCAAAGACAUCUUUUUAGUGACUCUGAAAUGACCACAAGGAGAAAAGCAGCCUUGCAGAAUUUCAUGGCCCUUGAAGUUCUCAUGCUGCACAAGGGGGAACUUGUACCAUAAACAAAACCAAAUGCUAUGUGUACAUUCCAGACAAUUCAGGAAACAUCACCCUGACCCUUCAAGAUAUGCACAAAAAUUUAAUGCUAUGUCCAACCCCACAAUGUCACUAAACCAAUAGUUAUCUUUGUGGUUUAGAUUAGAACCCUCUUAGUGGAAAACAAUAUUAAUAAUUCUAGCUGUGAGUAUAGGAAUAGAAAUAUUUUGUUGUUGUGGAUUAUAUUGCUAUUGUAUUACAUGUAUGAUAUUGCAAGAUUGCCUCUCUCAGAGGCUCCCGACAACCUGUUUAGUGAUGUUGCAACAAAUUGCCUCUGUACAACCUGGGACUCUUGAGUAUUUCCAACUGCUGGUAACUAAGUUCCUUUCCUUGGCCCCAUAGCAACACCCCUUUCGGAGGAAGUAGUUAGAAUGAGUCAACACCCCAACUCUUCAGUACUGAGGCAUGAAACAGUGACAGUGGGGAUGUUGUAACUGAGCCUAUAUGAUAAAAAUCCUAAGAUGUUUGUUUUACUUAUCUUCCUCUUUCUUUGUCUUUUUCUUUCUCCAUGUAUGAUAACUUGUACUUAAGUCAUUUCAGUAGAGGUGGUCACCAACUCACUAAUAACUGAUUAACUUCAUAUCCUGACUCCUGGUGGCUGCCAAUAAGAUUAAUGAACCUUUUUUUUCAUUCAAAGAACAAUAAUCCUUAUAUCAUGCAGACCUCCUUGAUGUUGUCCAGAAGUUUGAUCAGCCAAGGGAGGUAAGCAGCUUUGAUCAUUGAGGUCUCACCUCCUACAUACCUACUGUAUUCAUAAAUGUUCAAAGGCAGUAAUGUUCAAAGGCAGGUCAGAUUAAAUAUUUUGCCUGUCCUGUCUUGAGGAUUUGGCCAAAUUGUAUAAACCUUUCUCUGCUCCUAAGCACUAAUGUGUCAGUAUUUGGCUUAGGAUGCAUGCAGUACUUGAAACUUGCUUUUGGUG